AUUCCUGCCCAGUGAUAAAAUUCAACGGCCGCGGUAUCCUAACCGUGCAAAGGUAGCAUAAUCACUUGCCCAUUAAUUGUGGGCUAGAAUGAACGGACCAACGAAAUAAGAACUGUCUCUGUAAGUCCUAUAAAAAUUAAUCUCUAACUGAAGAGUGUUAGAUAGCCUUGAAGGACAAGAAGACCCUAUAGAGCUUCAUUUAAUAAAAAUAAUACACAUAUUUUAAAAAUUCGGUUGGGGCGACCAGGGAAAACAUAAAUCAUCCCACACUUUUAAGAUUUAUGCAUCUUAUUAAUGACCCUUAAUCAAGAUCAACAAAACAAGCUACCUUAGGGAUAACAGGCUAAUCCCGUUAAAGAGUCCUUAUUAAUAACGGGGUUUGGCACCUCGAUGUUGGCUUAGGAAAUCCAUACGGCGCAAAAGUCGUAUAAUGAUGGUUUGUUCAACCAAUAAUUUCCUACAUGAUCU
RNAcentral lists this ribosomal RNA (468 nucleotides) under Dendrobaena depressa. RNAcentral's name for it is "Dendrobaena sp. 3 TS-2015 partial 16S ribosomal RNA". It matches the Rfam family "Bacterial large subunit ribosomal RNA", at positions 1855 to 2606 of the family's 2925-position model. Lineage: Eukaryota; Metazoa; Annelida; Clitellata; Crassiclitellata; Lumbricidae. The record is from RNAcentral.